UACAGAGGGUGCAAGCGUUAAUCGGAAUUACUGGGCGUAAAGCGUGCGUAGACGGUUAUGUAAGUCGGAUGUGAAAGCCCCGGGCUCAACCUGGGAAUGGCAUUCGAAACUGCAUAGCUAGGGUGCGGAAGAGGGAAGCGGAAUUUCGGGUGUAGCGGUGAAAUGCGUAGAUAUCCGAAGGAACAUCAGUGGCGAAAGCGGCUUCCUGGUCCAGCACCGACGUUCAGGCACGAAAGCGUGGGGAGCGAACAGG
Molecule: ribosomal RNA, 253 nt
Filed under: uncultured bacterium
Lineage: Bacteria
Description: partial 16S ribosomal RNA
Rfam family: Bacterial small subunit ribosomal RNA
Source: RNAcentral